AGUCGAACGAACUUAAUUCAUUCUUUUAGAUUGGAAGCGGUUAGUGGCGGACUGGUGAGUAACGCGUGAGCAACCUGCCUAUUAGAGGGGAAUAACAGUGAGAAAUCAUUGCUAAUACCGCAUAUGCUUACACUAUUGCAUGAUAGAGUAAGGAAAGGAGCAAUCCGCUAAUAGAUGGGCUCGCGUCUGAUUAGCUAGUUGGUGGGGUAGAAGCCUACCAAGGCGACGAUCAGUAGCCGGACUGAGAGGUUGAACGGCCACAUUGGGACUGAGAUACGGCCCAGACUCCUACGGGAGGCAGCAGUCGGGAAUAUUGCGCAAUGGAGGAAACUCUGACGCAGUGACGCCGCGUAUAGGAAGAAGGUUUUCGGAUUGUAAACUAUUGUCGUUAGGGAAGAAAAAAGACAGUACCUAAGGAGGAAGCCCCGGCUAACUAUGUGCCAGCAGCCGCGGUAAUACAUAGGGGGCAAGCGUUAUCCGGAAUUAUUGGGUGUAAAGGGUGCGUAGACGGGUGUUUAAGUUGGUUGUGAAAUCCCUCGGCUCAACUGAGGAACUGCAACCAAAACUGGAUAUCUUGAGUGUCGGAGAGGAAAGUGGAAUUCCUAGUGUAGCGGUGAAAUGCCUAGAUAUUAGGAGGAACACCAGUGGC
RNAcentral lists this ribosomal RNA (649 nucleotides) under uncultured bacterium. RNAcentral describes it as "bacterial SSU rRNA". It matches the Rfam family "Bacterial small subunit ribosomal RNA", at positions 60 to 716 of the family's 1533-position model. The record is from RNAcentral.